Molecule: ribosomal RNA, 253 nt
Filed under: uncultured bacterium
Lineage: Bacteria
Description: partial 16S ribosomal RNA
Rfam family: Bacterial small subunit ribosomal RNA
Source: RNAcentral
UACGUAGGGGGCUAGCGUUGUCCGGAAUCAUUGGGCGUAAAGCGCGUGUAGGCGGUCCGGUAAGUCCGCUGUGAAAGUCGAAGGCUCAACCCUCGAAUGCCGGUGGAUACUGUCGGGCUUGAGUACGGGAGAGGCGAGUGGAAUUCCUGGUGUAGCGGUGAAAUGCGCAGAUAUCAGGAGGAACACCGAUUGCGAAGGCAGCUCGCUGGAACGUUACUGACGCUGAGACGCGAAAGCGUGGGGAGCAAACAGG